CCCCAAGGCCUGUGGGCAGAAGGGGGUGUAGCCUGCAGCCAGGGUUGGGGGGCGGAGGGAGCGCGGAACCCUGCCCUCCUGUCUUGCUCCUCCCUGCGAAGCAGGCCAGGGAAGGCUCAGCCAGGGCCGGGGCCUGAUCCCCUCUUGGCCUCAGGGUGACCCUCAUUUCGUAGGACAGACAGGGGAGGUGCGGGUGGUUUUGCUCCUGGGGACAGGCUGGCUGGGAGUCCUGGCCCCGGAGCCUGGGGGACACGGGACCCCGCACACUCCUGGGCUCUGGUGGGCGGCACGUUGCCCCCAGGCGGCUGGGCGGAGCCUCGGGGGCUUUGCGGCAGGGCUGGGUGCAGUCUGGCCGGCCUGGGUGAAGGCUGUUUUGAAGUGGAUCUUGAUCCUGCUCCAUUGCAUCACGGUUGUUGGGUAUUCAAAGAAGCCAGCGGCCCGCAGUCUCCCACUUGAGGAUGCUGUGCUAACCCCCCGCAGGUGUGCAGCUGUGGACGGCCGGGUUCCGUGCCAGGCCGGGGGACAGGGGACACCUGCUGUGGCUGGCCCUCGCCGCCACCGCGCAGCCCAGCGGCCGCUUCAUCCAAGGUGGCUCCCCCCAGUGCGUGAAGGCGCCCACGACCCCCCUUCCCCCAACCACAGGC
This 644-nucleotide long non-coding RNA is filed under the name Sus scrofa (pig). Its description in RNAcentral is "lncRNA (ENSSSCG00050011556.1)". Lineage: Eukaryota; Metazoa; Chordata; Mammalia; Artiodactyla; Suidae. The record is from RNAcentral.